GCGCACCCUUCGGGGCGAGCGGCGGACGGGUUAGUAACGCGUGGGAACAUACCCUUUUCUAUGGAAUAGCCUUUGGAAACGAAGAGUAAUACCAUAUACGCCCUUCGGGGGAAAGAUUUAUCGGAGAAGGAUUGGCCCGCGUAAGAUUAGAUAGUUGGUGGGGUAAUGGCCUACCAAGUCUACGAUCUUUAGCUGGUUUUAGAGGAUGAUCAGCAACACUGGGACUGAGACACGGCCCAGACUCCUACGGGAGGCAGCAGUGGGGAAUCUUAGACAAUGGGCGCAAGCCUGAUCUAGCCAUGCCGCGUGUGUGAUGAAGGCCUUAGGGUCGUAAAGCACUUUCGCCAGAGAUGAUAAUGACAGUAUCUGGUAAAGAAACCCCGGCUAACUCCGUGCCAGCAGCCGCGGUAAUACGGAGGGGGUUAGCGUUGUUCGGAAUUACUGGGCGUAAAGCGUACGUAGGCGGAUCAGAAAGUAGGGGGUGAAAUCCCGAGGCUCAACCUCGGAACUGCCUCCUAAACUCCUGGUCUUGAGUUCGAGAGAGGUGAGUGGAAUUCCAAGUGUAGAGGUGAAAUUCGUAGAUAUUUGGAGGAACACCAGUGGCGAAGGCGGCU
Molecule: ribosomal RNA, 614 nt
Filed under: uncultured bacterium
Lineage: Bacteria
Description: bacterial SSU rRNA
Rfam family: Bacterial small subunit ribosomal RNA
Source: RNAcentral